GUCUACAUCCAUACUACCCUGAACGUGCCUGAUCUCAUCUGAUCUCUGAAGUUAAGCAGGUCGGGCCUGGUUAGUACUUGGAUAGGAGAAAUCCUGAAAAAAAUCUAAUUGAAUGAUUAGAUU
RNAcentral lists this ribosomal RNA (123 nucleotides) under Castor canadensis (American beaver). The record is from RNAcentral. Lineage: Eukaryota; Metazoa; Chordata; Mammalia; Rodentia; Castoridae.